GGAUCGAACAUAUCAAACCUUGAAGUGGCUCCCUUGGAUAUGGUGGAGAUCAUAAUUUAAGGUGUCAUGGUGGAGUCUCCGCCUGUCAUCAUCAUCGAAGUCCUAAACACAACAGUCAAGACAUCAUAGGCUGCCUAUGCAAGGACUAGAUAUCAACCUAUGUAGGUGACUCCAGAGGCUAUAGUGGACUUAACUAAAGUUAAGGAUGAGGUUGUGGAAGGAGCAAUCAUCGGAGUGACCAGAAUGAUGGGAGAAAUCAUGGGUCCCUCUCAUCAUGCUGUCGAAGUGUCGCCAUCUUGUCUUCCAUCUGAGCCUUUUCUUCCCAUUCCCCUUAGGCAGACUCUUUAUCCUUUCGCUCUGGAUGGUCAAGCCAAGAGGAUGAGAUAGUGAUCUUCGAGUACCAUCAUUCUUAGAAAAUAAUCAAAGGAUUGAUACCUCCUCGGGAUGAAGAGUACCUAUCCGGGAUGAUCGAUGAAGAGGCACUGUUGAGCUCAUAUCACAGCAUCCUGAUGUUAAGUUUUCUUUUCUUUGCUCA
This 535-nucleotide long non-coding RNA is filed under the name Elaeis guineensis (African oil palm). RNAcentral's name for it is "long non-coding RNA (EGUI_LNC031807)". The record is from RNAcentral. Lineage: Eukaryota; Viridiplantae; Streptophyta; Magnoliopsida; Arecales; Arecaceae.